This 110-nucleotide small nuclear RNA is filed under the name Aotus nancymaae (Ma's night monkey). Lineage: Eukaryota; Metazoa; Chordata; Mammalia; Primates; Aotidae. The record is from RNAcentral.
GUGCUUGCUUCAGCCCACAUAUACUAUUAAAUUAGAAUGAUAAAGAGAAAGACUAGUAUGGUCCCUGCACAAGGAUAACAACACAAAUUCAUGAAGCAUUCCAUAUUAAA